GUGCCGCAAUGGUGAUAGCACGAAGAAGUUCUUUUGCAUGUUGCAAACAUUGUGACUUAAGAAGCUGUGCUAUUGACCUAACAAAGAAAUCCGUAACACGAGGUCUUUUGUUUUUCAGGCAGUCCCAUCGGCAGAUCAUCUUAAUGCAGUGUGCUACAUCUACCCUGACAAAACAUGGGGUAGAUGUCCAGGUUGAUUCCCACGUGAAAUGUUAAAGCACUCAUUGAUGUAGCUCUUCAGAUCAGGAUGAGGGGAACAGAUGCACCUGCAUGGAUCCAUUCCUUCAGCCACUGUGUGAUAGCAUCAUGCUUCUCUGACAGCAUCUGCACGACUGGGACACUGGAGCUGGUAUGCCCUGUCAUAACGCCCUGAUACAGGAAGAUAUGGCCAGACAUGCCAUUCGGCCUCAUCAGUUUUUUAACUAUUGAGCCAGUUGCAUCAACACAUAAUAUUGGGUGGGAUUUCUUUAAGCUCUUGUACACGUGCAUUUGUGUUUGACUCCAAUAGUGACAGAAGAACUUGUCAAGUCCAAUGUCUUUGAUGCUGUCACUGUGAGGUGCACUGUAUUUUUCAACAUCUACAAUGAUAAAAUUGGAUUUUUGUCACCUAA
Long non-coding RNA from Syngnathus typhle (broad-nosed pipefish), 610 nucleotides. RefSeq lists it as uncharacterized. The transcript is spliced from 2 exons. The record is from RefSeq and is a predicted model, not a curated record. Lineage: Eukaryota; Metazoa; Chordata; Actinopteri; Syngnathiformes; Syngnathidae.